GUUUACAUCCAGAUAUCAGAAGAGUCAAGUUCCCUUUUGCAGACAGCGGUUUCAGUGCUGCAGAGCUCCUACUUGGACUCUACAUCUCAGGACGGUUUUCAGUACAGCCAAGCAAUUCUAGUGGAAAACGAUGUUUUUCUAAGUGAGCUCAAAGCUUUUGCCCAAGCCAAGGAAGCUGCCGGGUACAGCCAGGAGGAGCUGGAGGAGACCUUUGCGUUUCUCCUGUUUGAUAAUGAAGCAGAGGCAAGAGAGGUGUGUCAGACAGGCCUCCGUGUAAACAGCAGUUCUAUUUCCACGCUUGGUGACCCAGCAAAAGGUAAGAUUUCCAUUUA
Molecule: long non-coding RNA, 332 nt
Organism: Athene cunicularia (burrowing owl)
Lineage: Eukaryota; Metazoa; Chordata; Aves; Strigiformes; Strigidae
Exons: 5
Source: RefSeq, a predicted model, not a curated record